This 253-nucleotide ribosomal RNA is filed under the name uncultured bacterium. RNAcentral describes it as "partial 16S ribosomal RNA". It matches the Rfam family "Bacterial small subunit ribosomal RNA", at positions 524 to 776 of the family's 1533-position model. The record is from RNAcentral.
UACGGAGGGGGCAAGCGUUAUCCGGAUUCACUGGGCUUAAAGGGUGCGUAGGUGGGCAAGUAAGUCAGUGGUGAAAUCUCCGGGCUUAACCCGGAAACUGCCAUUGAUACUAUUUGUCUUGAAUACUGUGGAGGUCAGCGGAAUAUGUCAUGUAGCGGUGAAAUGCUUAGAUAUGACAUAGAACACCAAUUGCGAAGGCAGCUGGCUACACAAAUAUUGACGCUGAGGCACGAAAGCGUGGGGAUCAAACAGG